Molecule: ribosomal RNA, 227 nt
Filed under: uncultured eukaryote
Lineage: Eukaryota
Description: partial small subunit ribosomal RNA
Rfam family: Eukaryotic small subunit ribosomal RNA
Source: RNAcentral
GGGAAACUCACCAGGUCCAGACAUGACUAGGAUUGACAGAUUGAUAGCUCUUUCUUGAUUUUAUGGGUGGUGGUGCAUGGCCGUUCUUAGUUGGUGGAGUGAUUUGUCUGGUUAAUUCCGAUAACGAACGAGACCUUAACCUGCUAACUAGUCAGGCUGGCUUCGGCUGGUCUCUGACUUCUUAGAGGGACUAUCAGCGUUUAGCUGUUGGAAGUUUGAGGCAAUAA